This 73-nucleotide transfer RNA is filed under the name Gallicola sp. RNAcentral describes it as "tRNA-Met". It matches the Rfam family "tRNA". From Rfam's summary of the family: Transfer RNA (tRNA) molecules are approximately 80 nucleotides in length. Their secondary structure includes four short double-helical elements and three loops (D, anti-codon, and T loops). Further hydrogen bonds mediate the characteristic L-shaped molecular structure. tRNAs have two regions of fundamental functional importance: the anti-codon, which is responsible for specific mRNA codon recognition, and the 3' end, to which the tRNAs corresponding amino acid is attached (by aminoacyl-tRNA synthetases). tRNAs cope with the degeneracy of the genetic code in two manners: having more than one tRNA (with a specific anti-codon) for a particular amino acid; and 'wobble' base-pairing, i.e. permitting non-standard base-pairing at the 3rd anti-codon position. Lineage: Bacteria; Bacillati; Bacillota; Tissierellia; Tissierellales; Peptoniphilaceae. The record is from RNAcentral.
UGCGGGAUGUCAGCAGUGGUAGCUAUUGAGUUUCAUAAGCACAAGGUCGGUGGUUCGAUUCCACCUCCCGCAA